GGGGUGAGACUGAGAGUCGGUCUACUGACUUUUAAUCAGUAGGUCGAUGGUUCGAUCCCAUCCGGGCUCGCCA
This 73-nucleotide transfer RNA is filed under the name Hyphomicrobiales bacterium. RNAcentral describes it as "Rhizobiales bacterium tRNA-Ser". The stretch from base 6 to 70 matches the Rfam family "tRNA". From Rfam's summary of the family: Transfer RNA (tRNA) molecules are approximately 80 nucleotides in length. Their secondary structure includes four short double-helical elements and three loops (D, anti-codon, and T loops). Lineage: Bacteria; Pseudomonadati; Pseudomonadota; Alphaproteobacteria; Hyphomicrobiales. The record is from RNAcentral.